This 655-nucleotide ribosomal RNA is filed under the name Salmonella enterica. RNAcentral's name for it is "partial 23S ribosomal RNA". It matches the Rfam family "Bacterial large subunit ribosomal RNA", at positions 597 to 1252 of the family's 2925-position model. Lineage: Bacteria; Pseudomonadati; Pseudomonadota; Gammaproteobacteria; Enterobacterales; Enterobacteriaceae. The record is from RNAcentral.
CUGCGUACCUUUUGUAUAAUGGGUCAGCGACUUAUAUUCUGUAGCAAGGUUAACCGAAUAGGGGAGCCGGAGGGAAACCGAGUCUUAACCGGGCGUUAAGUUGCAGGGUAUAGACCCGAAACCCGGUGAUCUAGCCAUGGGCAGGUUGAAGGUUGGGUAACACUAACUGGAGGACCGAACCGACUAAUGUUGAAAAAUUAGCGGAUGACCUGUGGCUGGGGGUGAAAGGCCAAUCAAACCGGGAGAUAGCUGGUUCUCCCCGAAAGCUAUUUAGGUAGCGCCUCGUGAAUUCAUCUCCGGGGGUAGAGCACUGUUUCGGCUAGGGGGCCAUCCCGGCUUACCAACCCGAUGCAAACUGCGAAUACCGGAGAAUGUUAUCACGGGAGACACACGGCGGGUGCUAACGUCCGUCGUGAAGAGGGAAACAACCCAGACCGCCAGCUAAGGUCCCAAAGUCAUGGUUAAGUGGGAAACGAUGUGGGAAGGCCCAGACAGCCAGGAUGUUGGCUUAGAAGCAGCCAUCAUUUAAAGAAAGCGUAAUAGCUCACUGGUCGAGUCGGCCUGCGCGGAAGAUGUAACGGGGCUAAACCAUGCACCGAAGCUGCGGCAGCGACACUGUGUGUUGUUGGGUAGGGGAGCGUUCUGUAAGCCUGUG